RNAcentral lists this ribosomal RNA (419 nucleotides) under Mesomyzostoma sp. 4b DL-2005. RNAcentral's name for it is "partial 16S ribosomal RNA". The record is from RNAcentral. Lineage: Eukaryota; Metazoa; Annelida; Myzostomida; Myzostomatidae.
UCUGCUCAAUGUAAUUUAUAAAUAGCUGCAUAAUAUGUACUAAGGUAGCAUAAUAAUUUGUCUUUUAAUUAAAGAAUUGUAUGAAUGAAUUUACAAGAAAUUAACUGUCUCUUUAUAAUUAUUAUAAAUUAAUUUAUAAGUGAAAAAGCUUAUAUAAAAUAAAUAGACAAGAAGACCCUGUUGAGCUUUUUCUAUUAAAUAAUAAAUAGAUUUUGUUGGGGCAACAUUUAAAUAUUAUAAUCAUUUUUUAUAUUUUAGAAUAAAUUCACUUUAUUUAUCUUAUUUUAUAAAAUAUUAAUAAGUUACCACAGGGAUAACAGACUAAUUUUCUUUUAGAGCUCAAAUUAACAAGAAAGAUUGGCACCUCGAUGUUGGCUUAAGAUCACAAUUAAUUGUAGUAAAUUAAUUUUGUUGGUUUG